Long non-coding RNA from Passer montanus (Eurasian tree sparrow), 1091 nucleotides. RefSeq lists it as uncharacterized. The transcript is spliced from 4 exons. The record is from RefSeq and is a predicted model, not a curated record. Lineage: Eukaryota; Metazoa; Chordata; Aves; Passeriformes; Passeridae.
UCCAUUCUGACCCAAAACAUGGUAUGAUUCUAAAAUUUUCAUAGAAAUAAUGACUUGUACAGAUACUUUGAAACCUUUUAAAGUUGAUUAGUACAUUACUAGAAUGCAUGUGAACAAGAGAAAUGCUACAUCACUUGCAAAAAUGUUAAUGCACAUCCUUCUGAUAUUCACUACUGAUCAGUGAAAUAAUUAUUAUGAUAGCCUUACAGAAAAACUGUUAGGAUGAAACAUCAGAGGAACCAAAGAAUAAGAAAAUCAGAAAAAAAUUAUGUUGUUUGGCCACUUUUCUAACCAUCUGUUUUCUCUAUUGUUUUGACAAUGGUCAUUUAACCCAGCUCCUUUGGCCUCUGCACCUCUCUGGCUGAACACAAAUCUUACCUCAGCUGCAAAAUUAGAAAAAAACCCAAAGUAACUGAAUUUCACUCGGAAAACGGAUUGUGUUCCUUCUGCUGGAAUUAAAGAACAGAGAAGAAGAGCUAUUGCAAGGUGCUGCCUUGGUAUGAAGAUUACUUACCAUUAGGCUCAGAGAAGGCAAGCUUUUCAGUGGCUUCUUAUCUAGAGAGUUUCAUAUCAAAAGCAGUGGAAAUAAACAGGUCCAACAAGAUUUGAGGUUUAUCUCGAUAGAUCUGUUCUUCACUGAGUUUUAAACCAAACUCCUUGCAUGCAAACUUGGAACUGGGAUAGAGAAGAGGAGGAAAAUAAAUACCUUCAAAUUGGCUAGAUAAAACAAAACAACAAAUCAAUUUGGUUAAUUAAAAUAUCCAAGAUUUUUAAUUUGUACUGAUCUUUUUACUGGCUCUGGGAAGUGGAAAACAUCUGUAAUGCAACACACACUGCCAUUCUGCCCUGGGCAGAUGGGGAGUGACUCCAAUGAGAAUUACUUUCUGCCCUGCUUUACACAGCCACACAAAGUCACUGAAGAACCAAGAAAUGGUUCCAGGUUUCCACACGUCUCCAUGCAUGCCUCCUGCUUCCCUCUUAGCUGAAAUACAAAAGCAAUCUUCCCCAGUUACUUUCUUACUUCCAUUUUAUGAAUGUUGCCAAAAUUCUUAGAGUUGAAUCAAAAUAUUAAUAAAAUACUUCCUGAUUUC